RNAcentral lists this ribosomal RNA (762 nucleotides) under uncultured bacterium. Its description in RNAcentral is "bacterial SSU rRNA". It matches the Rfam family "Bacterial small subunit ribosomal RNA", at positions 8 to 796 of the family's 1533-position model. The record is from RNAcentral.
AGAGUUUGAUCCUGGCUCAGGAUGAAUGCUGGCGGCGCGCCUAAUACAUGCAAGUCGAGCGGUAACAGGGGUAGUUUACUACCUGCUGACGAGCGGCGGACGGCUGAGUAACACGUGGGAACAUGCCCCAAAGUGAGGAAUAACUGCCCGAAAGGGUAGCUAAUACCGCAUAUGAUCUUCGGAUUAAAGGAUUUAUCCGCUUUGGGAGUGGCCUGCGUACGAUUAGAUAGUUGGUGAGGUAAAGGCUCACCAAGUCGACGAUCGUUAACUGGUCUGAGAGGAUGAUCAGUCAGACUGGAACUGAGACACGGUCCAGACUCCUACGGGAGGCAGCAGUAGGGAAUCUUCCACAAUGGGCGAAAGCCUGAUGGAGCGACGCCGCGUGCAGGAUGAAGGCCUUCGGGUUGUAAACUGCUUUUAUAAGUGAAGAAUAUGACGGUAACUUAUGAAUAAGCACCGGCUAACUACGUGCCAGCAGCCGCGGUCAUACGUAGGGUGCAAGCAUUAUCCGGAGUGACUGGGCGUAAAGAGUUGCGUAGGUGGUUCGUUAAGUGAAUAGUGAAAUCUGGUGGCUCAACCACACAGACUAUUAUUCAAACUGGCAAACUCGAGAAUAGCAGAGGUAACUGGAAUUUCUAGUGUAGGAGUGAAAUCCGUAGAUAUUAGAAGGAACACCAAUGGCGUAGGCAGGUUACUGGGCUAUUUCUGACACUAAGGCACGAAAGCGUGGGGAGCGAACCGGAUUAGAUACCCUGGUAGUCG